GAUGAACGCUGGCGGCGUGCCUAAUACAUGCCAGUCGAGCGAACAGACGAGGAGCUUGCUCCUCUGACGUUAGCGGCGGACGGGUGAGUAACACGUGGAUAACCUACCUAUAAGACUGGGAUAACUUCGGGAAACCGGAGCUAAUACCGGGUAACAUGUUGAACCGCAUGGUUCAACAGUGAAAGACGGUCUUGCUGUCACUUAUAGAUGGAUCCGCGCCGCAUUAGCUAGUUGGUAAGGUAACGGCUUACCAAGGCAACGAUGCGUAGCCGACCUGAGAGGGUGAUCGGCCACACUGGAACUGAGACACGGUCCAGACUCCUACGGGAGGCAGCAGUAGGGAAUCUUCCGCAAUGGGCGAAAGCCUGACGGAGCAACGCCGCGUGAGUGAAGAAGGUCUUCGGAUCGUAAAACUCUGUUAUUAGGGAAGAACAAAUGUGUAAGUAACUAUGCACGUCUUGACGGUACCUAAUCAGAAAGCCACGGCUAACUACGUG
RNAcentral lists this ribosomal RNA (497 nucleotides) under uncultured bacterium. Its description in RNAcentral is "partial 16S ribosomal RNA". It matches the Rfam family "Bacterial small subunit ribosomal RNA", at positions 28 to 507 of the family's 1533-position model. The record is from RNAcentral.